This 253-nucleotide ribosomal RNA is filed under the name uncultured bacterium. RNAcentral describes it as "partial 16S ribosomal RNA". It matches the Rfam family "Bacterial small subunit ribosomal RNA", at positions 524 to 776 of the family's 1533-position model. The record is from RNAcentral.
UACGAAGGGGGCGAGCGUUGUUCGGAUUUACUGGGCGUAAAGGGCGCGUAGGCGGCGCAAGAAGUCAGGCGUGAAAGCCCCUGGCUCAACUGGGGAAGUGCACCCGAAACUGAAUGGCUUGAGUGCGAAAGAGGGUCGCGGAAUUCCCGGUGUAGAGGUGAAAUUCGUAGAUAUCGGGAGGAACACCGGUGGCGAAGGCGGCGACCUGGGUCGACACUGACGCUGAGGCGCGAAAGCGUGGGGAGCAAACAGG